This 73-nucleotide transfer RNA is filed under the name Marmota monax (woodchuck). Its description in RNAcentral is "tRNA.Undet". Lineage: Eukaryota; Metazoa; Chordata; Mammalia; Rodentia; Sciuridae. The record is from RNAcentral.
UGGGUUCUGGCUCAGCGGUAGAGCACUCACCUAGCCAAGUGCGAGGUGCUGGGUUUGAUCCUCAGCACCACAU